This 497-nucleotide ribosomal RNA is filed under the name uncultured bacterium. RNAcentral describes it as "partial 16S ribosomal RNA". It matches the Rfam family "Bacterial small subunit ribosomal RNA", at positions 28 to 507 of the family's 1533-position model. The record is from RNAcentral.
GAUGAACGCUGGCGGCGUGCCUAAUACAUGCAAGUCGAGCGAACAGACGAGGAGCUUGCUCCUCUGACGUUCGCGGCGGACGGGUGAGGAACACGUGGAUAACCUACUUAUAAGACUGGGAUAACUUCGGGAAACCGGAGGUAAUAACGGAGAAUAUACUGAUCCGCUUGGAUGAUUAGUGAAAGACGGGUUUUCUGUCACUUAUAGGUGGAUCCGCGCUGCAUUAGCUGGUUGGUAAUGUAACGGCUUAACGAGGCAACGAUGCGUAGCCGACCUGAGAGGGUGGUCGGCCACACGGGAAGUGAGGCACGUACCACACUCCGGCGGUAAGCAGCAGUAGGGAAUCUUCCGCAAUGGGCGAGAACCUGACGGAGCACCGCCGCGUGAGUGAUGACGGUGUUCGGAUCGUAAGGCUCUGUUAUUAUUGGAGAACAAAUGUGUAAGUAACUGUGCACGACUUGACGGUACCUACUCAAAAAGCCACGGCUAACUACGUG